Molecule: ribosomal RNA, 444 nt
Filed under: uncultured soil bacterium
Lineage: Bacteria
Description: bacterial SSU rRNA
Rfam family: Bacterial small subunit ribosomal RNA
Source: RNAcentral
AGGAUGAACGCUGGCGGCGUGCUUAACACAUGCAAGUCGAACGAUGAAGCCGGAGCUUGCUCUGGUGGAUUAGUGGCGAACGGGUGAGUAACACGUGAGUAACCUGCCCUUGACUCUGGGAUAAGCGUUGGAAACGACGUCUAAUACCGGAUACGACGCGCGAGGGCAUCUUCUGCGCGUGGAAAGAAUUUCGGUCAAGGAUGGACUCGCGGCCUAUCAGCUAGUUGGUGAGGUAACGCCCACCAAGGCGACGACGGGUAGCCGGCCUGAGAGGGUGACCGGCCACGACUGGACUGAGAGACGCCCAGACUCCUACGGGAGGCAGCAGUGGGGAAUCUUGCGCAAGUGGCCGAAAGGCUGGACGCAGCGACGCCGCGUGGUGGGAGGACGCCGUUUCGGGUAGUAAACCACGUGUUCGGCCCGGGAACGAACACGUCCCGUUUU